GUCACUGGGUAGCUCAGUUGGUUAGAGCGUGGUGCUCAUAACGUCAAGGUUGGAGGUUCAAUCCCCAUAUGGGACA
RNAcentral lists this transfer RNA (76 nucleotides) under Podarcis lilfordi (Lilford's wall lizard). RNAcentral describes it as "tRNA.Met". Lineage: Eukaryota; Metazoa; Chordata; Lepidosauria; Squamata; Lacertidae. The record is from RNAcentral.